Molecule: ribosomal RNA, 492 nt
Filed under: uncultured bacterium
Lineage: Bacteria
Description: partial 16S ribosomal RNA
Rfam family: Bacterial small subunit ribosomal RNA
Source: RNAcentral
AGUGAACGCUGGCGGUAGGCCUAACACAUGCAAGUCGAACGGCAGCACAGUAAGAGCUUGCUCUUACGGGUGGCGAGUGGCGGACGGGUGAGGAAUACAUCGGAAUCUACUUUUUCGUGGGGGAUAACGUAGGGAAACUUACGCUAAUACCGCAUACGACCUACGGGUGAAAGCAGUGGAUCUUCGGACCUUGCGCGAUUGAAUGAGCCGAUGUCGGAUUAGCUAGUUGGCGGGGUAAAGGCCCACCAAGGCGACGAUCCGUAGCUGGUCUGAGAGGAUGAUCAGCCACACUGGAACUGAGACACGGUCCAGACGCCUACGGGAGGCAGCAGUGGGGAAUAUUGGACAAUGGGCGCAAGCCUGAUCCAGCCAUACCGCGUGGGUGAAGAAGGCCUUCGGGUUGUAAAGCCGUUUUGUUGGGAAAGAAAAGCAGCAGGUUAAUACCCCGCUGUUCUGACGGUACCCAAAGAAUAAGCACCGGCUAACUUCGUG